Molecule: long non-coding RNA, 2077 nt
Organism: Nothobranchius furzeri (turquoise killifish)
Lineage: Eukaryota; Metazoa; Chordata; Actinopteri; Cyprinodontiformes; Nothobranchiidae
Source: Ensembl
AUGUUUCCUCUAAGACUGACGGCACCGUUUUGGGCACAGCAGAAAACAACAACAACAAAAGAGAUGAGCCAGUGGUUUUCUGUAACUGACACCUUCUGUGGAGUUGGACACAUCUUUUUACAGAUUGUGUUUUUCAGGAGAGGAGGAAGACAUGGUGGUGGAAACUGGGCAGCAUGUGUGAAGCCACAUCAGACAUUUUCCAUACCGGACCAGAUCUGGUUUUCUGUUUCGUCCUUUCGAGUGAAAGAUGACCACUAAUCUUGCACUCGACACCAGCCCACUCCAGUUUCGUCUGGACAGAUGAACAAAACACACCAGAUUACAUGUGAUGGACAAGAUAAAACUACUAGUUGACAAUGACUGUCCAAUGAACAAAUAAAUAAAAAUGCGUAUAAAAGACACUAAAGCACAUUUUCUGUUAGUGUGAUUUUUUUCAUAACAUUUUUUCAAAGCUACAGUUGAAGGUUUAAUAUGGAACAAUUUAAUAAAAAGCCAUAUGUUUAAAAACAAUACCUUCAUGGGGGGGGUUUAGAGGUGUGCGGUACAGUAUUUCCUUUAAAAGCUAUAUUUUAAUAAAUAAAAAUAUACAUUAAUUUUGACAGGCAUGACACUGGGUUUAUGUUUACGUCUACCAGCCAAUAGAGGGCCCCAGACAGUCCGCUCGGCACAGCGAGGCUGGUACUGGAAAACUACGAACUCGGCAUGUCGAGCAGCUGCUUUUGCACCCCAUCCUUAUCAGAAGAGGAGCGACCAUGAAAGAUCUAAAACCAGAGUCGGUUUAGGGGAAACCUGAACAGAUUGACCCAAAUAAAACAUUUCACAUAUCAGCAGUAGAUCUGGUAUUCCGACGGCUGGACACCUUGUUCUGUGGUUGCAACUACAACCUCCACACACUAGAUGUCGCUUUAGUGUUCAUGUUCUAUCUUUAAUAAGAACGUUUAAGUCUUAUCUGGAAAAGCAUCUUGCUGAGGGAAACCUUUCAUAACAUUGACUAUAAUUAUUUGGGCAAUUUGUGAAGUUUAUGAAAAAAUCAGUACAUUUAUAAAAUCUCAAUAACACACUUAAGGGUAUAAUUAAAGUUCUGUGUAGCCGUUUAAAGCUUUUAAUUAAAGAGCAAGUCACCCCCAAACCAACUUGUUUGCUGAUAAACUACAUAAGUGAGUGUCUACUUGUGCUGUAGACACGUGUAUUCAAUAAUUUGGCCCUUUAGUGCAUUUUAGUUGAUAUUUAAAUAUUCUGCCUAAAACUGUCAGUGUUGUGCCGUCUCCAGGUAAAAACUCUGCACUGCAUUUGAAUUUAAUCGCUAUUGGCUAAGAGGUACACUAUAAUGUUAGCUGGUACAUCAUGAUGUCACAAUGUCAUUGUGAGCCAGUGUGUGUGUGUAUUUGUUAGCGGCUCCGCCCUCUUAGUCUGCCAGACAACAACAUUUAUUGUGUUUGUCAAACAGGAAGUAGGAGUGAAGUAAAACUCUGUUAGGGGGUGACAUGCUCUUUAAUAACUUUAAGUGUGUGUCUGCUGGUAGAAGUUGUGGUUGGGGGUUCUGACUUAUGUUGGACACUGGUAGGGGGCUCCUCAAGUAAAAGGGUUUGGAACUGCAGGUUUAGACCAUCCCACCAAUCACAUUUGAGACAGUUUAUUCAGACUGCGUGUGCGUGUGUGUGUGUGUGUGUGUGUGUGUGUGUGUGUGUGUGUGUGUGUGUGUGUGUGUGUGUGUGUGCGCGCGUGUGUGUGUGUGCUUGUAUUUGUACCUUUGUGAAGACUGGAUUUGGGAUAUUUACUAACCUUUUUACGACCGAUGGUCCUUGUUAGGACCAAAACCCGGUCCUAAUAUGGAGUACUCCCUAGGGGUGAGGUUUACAGAUGAGAUGUGAAUUGAGUUUUUGUUACAGAUAACUUUAGGAAUACACUGGUUAGGGUUAGGGUAAGGGUUUGGGUUAGGCAUAGAGGACCCACUAAAAUGAAUGGAAGUCAAUACAAAAUCCUAACAUGGGUGUGUGUGUGUGUGUGUGUGUGGGUGUGUGUGUGUGUGUGUGUGUGUGUGUGUGUGUGUGAGAGAGAGAGAGCAUGUGCAAUGCUG